RNAcentral lists this ribosomal RNA (292 nucleotides) under uncultured bacterium. RNAcentral describes it as "partial 16S ribosomal RNA". It matches the Rfam family "Bacterial small subunit ribosomal RNA", at positions 505 to 796 of the family's 1533-position model. The record is from RNAcentral.
GUGCCAGCCGCCGCGGUAAUACGAAGGGGGCUAGCGUUGCUCGGAAUCACUGGGCGUAAAGCGCACGUAGGCGGAUCUUUAAGUCAGGGGUGAAAUCCUGGAGCUCAACUCCAGAACUGCCUUUGAUACUGGGGAUCUCGAGUCCGGAAGAGGUGAGUGGAACUCCGAGUGUAGAGGUGAAAUUCGUAGAUAUUCGGAAGAACACCAGUGGCGAAGGCGGCUCACUGGUCCGGUACUGACGCUGAGGUGCGAAAGCGUGGGGAGCAAACAGGAUUAGAAACCCGUGUAGUCC